Long non-coding RNA from Arabidopsis thaliana (thale cress), 302 nucleotides. RefSeq annotates it as other RNA. The transcript has a single exon. The record is from RefSeq. NCBI's taxonomy places the organism in Eukaryota, Viridiplantae, Streptophyta, Magnoliopsida, Brassicales, Brassicaceae.
AAAUGUAGGUGAUGGUUUUGGCGUGCCUGCUUUUGAGGGCAAAGGCAUGACUCCAUUGAGUUGAUAAAAGUAGUUUAUUUUCUUUCUUUUUCUUUAGUUGAACUUAAAAAAGUCGUUGAUCUAUUAUUUUCCCACAUCAUCUCAACCGCUCACCAUAAUGAGAGAAUCUCAAUGUCACACAAACACAUAAUCGAACCUCUAACUUUUGUAUACAUAACAAACUUUAUUAUUCUUUUAUCGAGGGAAUCUCGUUUUCAUCAUCCCUAUGUUCAUAAUAUAUCUCCUCUACCAUAUACAUAUGC